GUCACAAAGUGAGCACAGUAGGUUGGUAAUUAAUCUUUAGUUCCCAGGAAGAGAUGCUUAUCCUUAAAGAAGUGCUGAUAUGUGGGGGGAGCCACAUCCCUAUCUUUAAGGGCAUCACUCUUGUCUUUGGGACACUAAAUGUUUAAAGCAGAUGUAUAAUGCAUGCUCAACAGGCCACUUCAGGCCCUUUUGGAAAAAUAAGGUCAGGCCGAAUUAGUUUUACACUAAUGGCUUCCUCAUGUACUCCAAUACAUCCUAUUGUUUUUCAUUUAUUUAUCAUUAUGCAGUAUAUGCUCCUGGCUCAGGUAGGAAACCUAAUCAGUUGGCUCAUUUGGCCUAAUCAGGGCUCAGCUAAAAUGCAAGGCUGGUACUAAAGAGGAGCGACAUACAAUAAUCCUUAAUCCUCACCAACUAUGGGCACUGUUGUCUGAAAAACACGGAGGCUGAAAACCCUUAGUUGGCAAGAAGAAUGAAGGUCUUACUGAAAAUGACGUUUUUGAGGAAAAAUAAUUGAAAUCAUGCUAAAAAUUAAAACACAGUAAAGAAGACUUUCUAGAAAAAAAUCUCUACAUUCAAAAUAAACUAGUUCUGUUCAGGUUAAAGAUUUAAUCUCAGAGGCGGUCCUCCUCCCGUUGUUCAGGAGGAGUUGGAGCGGCUUCAUGAGCCGCUGCGGUAGAUUUCCAGUUUUGUGACAGCCCAACUCUAUCCCAUUUUAUACUGUUUGAACCUACCAUUACCAACUUGAAUUGCACUUUUGGUCUUACUUGCUUUAUUUUUGCAUGUCUUGACAAAAACGUGUUGGUAAUCACCUAGUCUUUUCAUGAAUUAUUGAGGAACUUACAAACCUGUUUUGUGGUGGUUACAAGGCCGCCUGCCCUUAAAUGGAAAUAUUAUCUCUCUGCAAUAUUUCGUAGGUUAGGCCAUAUGACCUGGGCAAAGAGAGAGAGUAGCAAGAAAUAAUUUCUAUUAUGUUCUCUUGCUUAAGAGGACUAAAUAAAAUCUCAAGGAUUAAAAACAAUGUCAUGACUUUGAACAUUUCGACCUACAAUUAUGAACCAGUACUAAGGCUAAUCCUUAAAUUGGCAAGAGAUGAUGAGAGCUUUUUACUACAGGUCACGCUUGAAUUAAGUAGAUAUCUCUCUCCUCCCAUGUCUUUCUCUCCACCUCCCAUUGACCCCUCCCAAACAUUUUCGGGGGAUGCUGAGCCAAAACCAUGGUUGUAUGGAGUGAGGCAAAUAGCGGGAGCAUCUCCUACCACAGUUGCAGAAGGGAGGAGUUUGGGGAUGUGCAAGUUGGGAUCUGUGGAUAAUUCAACUGGAGAAAAGGUCUAAAUGGGUUGUCAAAACAAGGAGGGCCUGACGCUUGUUGGGGAAUCAGAUAAGAGAGUCAAGGUGUGAAAGAGAGAGACUGAGUAAAAGCAGUGGUAGGAAGGAUGAUGUGGAGGGGCUUCUUUGGGUGACUGUCAGAGAUAGGGAAGAGUGGAGCAUGGCUGCGCUUUUCCCUGUCCCUUGUGGUGGGUUAUUUGAUGGUUGGAGCCAUAUUAAGGUCUGGGGUUGAAGCCAACCAACCAUCUUCUUCUCUUCGCUCCUUUCGGCCCCUUACUUGUACAUCCUCACUUCUCCUGAGCCUUCCCUUCCCACAUGAUUUCCUGUCUCUGCUAGAACUUUGAUCUGAUUUAGAUUUUCUGGUAUAUCUGAUAGUCUUACUGUGCCAGGGCCCAGUAUCAGUGCCUCGUGUGCAGGAGGGAUGCAGGUGGGCAUGGGAUGGGGGAGAGGGAAAAUGUCACCCAUAGCUAAGGCUCAUUUCUAAAGGAGCUUUCUGCAUCCUUGAGGCCCACGCUGAACAUCCCCAAACCCCUGAGGUUUCUAAACAUUCCUGUUGGUAAUAUUCCUCCAGAGAUGUAGUGUGAUGUGGAAGACAGAGCACUGGACUCAAGUCCAGGUCUCCAGCUUCCAGUCCAAAGUUCUGUCCACAACACUGUACUUGAAAUCUUGACCAGGCACAUAAAACAGAAGGUGCAGAGUCUCUUUCUUUAAGUAGCAUGCAACAUAGUAAAGAGGAUGGCACUAACAUCCAGUGCAAUGAGAGAACAAUGCAAAAAUGAUGAAGAACUUGCAAGGUGACUUGAGUGUGGUCUGGCGUAUAGAUGCUGGGGAAAUCUGGAGGAUUAGAGCAGGAGGGUGCUGGGGGAGCUCAUCUUUGGAGCCAGGACCCAGACUCCAGGAGAAAGUUCCACAUGCACAUUAUGAUGAGGAGGAUAAAAUAAUCACUAUAAUGAUAAUAAGCCAACUACUAUUUUGAGUGCCUAUUAUAUGCCAGGAUAUUAUACUAGGUGCUUCAUUUUGGAUUAGUUUCUAUUUAUCCUUGUACAUAUCCACAAUGUAGAAAGUGUUAGCUGUAUUUUAUAGAUGGAGACCUUGAAACUCAGAUUAAGAUUCUGACCAAUGUCACAUAGCUAGUACUGGAUAGAGCAGGGGACAUGUCCCACAUCUGCCUGCUGAUACUCCUGGUGAUUUGGCUGUUAUACUGCAGUGUCUGAAAUCAGCAAUGAAAUCUUAGUCCAAACUCUUUUACUGAAUAAAGUGAAAGCAAGUCAGUCUUUCAAGAGGGCCAUCACUCUGAAUUUCAAGUUAUUUCCCUUGCUUCUUCAGUUCAUUUAUAAAAGACAUGGCCGCAAGCAUCCUCCCAAUAGGAUGCUUAACCAGAGAGUAAACUGAAGACAGGAGACUCUGGAAUUUCUUUAUGUGCCUUAUUUCCAACUCCCUUACUGGGCUCAAGAUAACCUAUUAAGCCAUGUGGUCAAAAUAAAUUGACAGAAAUAUUUAUUAUUUCAAUUUACAUUCUAAAUCUUUCAUCUCUCUUAUUGAUUUUAUUUAAGAAUCUAAGUUUAAUUACUAAGUGACAUACUAGUUAUUAAUUCCAUUUGUUUUUGUAAAAGAAAGCACUGUAAUUGGAAUAUAAACCUCGCAUGCUCCGUGGUUGGCUGCCUUCAUUUCAGCUGUGUAGGAUUGGUCUGCUCCAGAGGUAGCAUCUUCUCCUGGCAGCAGGGACACCUCCACUCUGAGCCAGCCUUGGGGUAUCACCCCCUCUGGCCUUGUUCAGUUUGUUGUGACAAGAGAAGGCUUUUUGUGAUGCUGCUUUUGAAGACAUCACCAAACUAUGAAAGCCAUGGAGAUGGUGUGUACACUGUGUGCAUCCAUGAGGAAUGAGGGGAAUGGUAUGUGAUCUAAGUAAGAGUGAGUGUGUGUGUGUGUGUGUGUUUGAUAGAGAGAGGAUAAAAACCAGCAUUACUGAGCACCAGCUUUCUGCCAGGCACUGCUAGGUGCUUUACUAAAUCACACAUCAUCCUCACAAUGUUGAAAGGUAUGUGAUACCAUCACCAUGUAAUAGAGGGGAAAACUGAAACUGAAAGGAAAGAGACUUACCGAAGGCUGCAGAGAAAUCCAGCUGACACCCAAGCAUGACCACCUUCCUCUACAGCUUGCUCAGAUAUUUACGGAGAGCCUAACCUUGUGCUAGUGGAGUCAGGAGGGGCAUAAGUCUGCAAAGUGGGGAGACGACAGAGCAAGACUUUGUUCACAAUCAUGGAACAUCUACACUGAGAAAAAGGGCCCAAGCUCCCUGUUUACCAGUUAGGAGUCAAAGCCAAAGGCUUAACUGAAGUAGUUUUUGCUAAAAGAACACAACUUUUAUAUUCCAAAGAGUCAAAACGUGAUUUUAUUCAGCAUGUAAUUCUAAGAAGUGUGACCAUUUAGAAGUCCUACUGGCAGUAAUAUAAAAUAAAGCAAGGGGAGAUGACACUGGAGAGUAGGUGAUCUGACUAUGAAGACAAAAAUAAAGUCUACAGUUGAUAUAAAUCUAAGCUACCUCACACCACGAGAACAUAUAUUCAAACAGUAAACAUGAGGCAUCAAGAGAAGAUCAGUUUAUGUUAAGAAACAUGUCUUUAGAAGAUCAGGAAUUGUUAUUACACAGUAAAAAUAUUUCCAUCCAAAAUGGGAAUAUGUGGUUACAAAGAGAGUUAUAGACGUGAAUAUAAUAUACCUGAAGUUUGAAGCUUCAGGUCAGAGCAGUAGGUAGAGUGGAAACGCCCAUCCCCUUGAAUUUAGAAGAAAUUUGCUGGAGUCCAGGCUUUCCCCUUGCUGGCCAUAUAUUCUUGCACUUUACCAAUCUGUUCUGUGGUUUUUCCCUUUAUACAAUGAAAAAGACAACCCUAACCCAUCUUAUCUCCAAGAUGGCUACCGAUGUGUUUGAUAAAUUCUGAUAAUCAUGGUCAUGGUCACCAUCAAGAAACUCUCCUUAUUUCCUGGCAAUGCAGGCUUUAAAAAGUAGCACUUGGAUGUGACUGGUAAUCCCAUUAUAGAUUUCUUCUUCUCACUGUUUCCAGAGUCCUCUCAACCCCAGGCAAAGAGAAUUUUGCAUUUUGGCUUUUACAAGGGAUGUGGCUAUGAACAUUUUGUGCACACGUUCUUGCAUUUCUUGAAUACAUUUGCCCAGCAAUGAAAUUGUUGAUAGAAAGGAUUUGUACAUCUUUGGGCCUGAUAAAGUGAAACAGCUAUUCUACCAGAGACAUGGGUUCGUUCAGAUGACUUGUGGGGUCACUACCAUAAUCUAAUGAGGUUGUCCUAUUGUGGCUUAUGUGUAAAUCCAUUUCCCUGUAAGUCUUCCCUGGAGGAGUCAUUCCCAGGACGAGAGUUCUUAAGAUAGGAAAUUGGACUGGAUAGGAAGGCCUUAGAUGAAGAAUAACACCUGCCUCUUUCCAGUCCUCCUUCUCAAGUUAUAGCACCUGGACAAUCUGAGACGACAGUUUCCAAUCAGGGGUGGGAAGGUUCUGAUCCUGGCUCUUUGUCACUAGCUUGCAUUCAGCUACCUUCUCACUGUGAUCAGGACUGUCUCCCCUGUUGGACCAAGAAAGUCCAAUGAGAGGUUUUGGAGACCGUAUUUGUCUUGGAUCCAAAUUUUAUUUCCAUAUAAGGCCCUCACUUGUCUGCUUCUUCUCCCACAUACUCUAGCUUGGCAUAACAUUUGAUUCUUCCAACUCUGCUGACUCCACGUUACCAGAUGUACAAUUCAUGGUGGAAGAGAGCCUCCCUUCCUUAGGAAAGUUAAAUGUUCCUUCUCACUCAGCUCCAGACUCAUCAGUUGAAGACUUCUCUAUUUCCUGUAAGACCAAACAGGAGGCUUCAGCACAUAGCCAAUACUUCUCUGAAUUUUUGUAUCACCUCCUCUAAAGCUAUAUCUUUGAGGGUACAUGAUCAUCUCUGCAAAGUCAGUAUAAGUUAGUUGGUUUCACUAAAGUUUUUCAAAUGUAGGACCGAGAUCUGUAACUUCUCAGCCUGACCUAGGAGAGUCUUAUCGCUAUUUUUUACUGACUCCAACAGUUGAGCCAAUUCCCCAUUUUAGGGUCUAUUUUAAGAACUCCCACUUCUUGCUGCCUAAUUCUAUAUCAGUUAGGAUUCUUGAAGAGAAUGAGUCUCCUCCGUUCUUCGCCCAGCAAAUACAACACCUCCUUUUUAUUUUAAAUAGCUUGUAAUAUCCCCUUUACUAUUCUGCAAUUGAAUUCAUAGUUUAAUCCACUGAUCAUAUAAUUACGAAAAUAUAUCAUGCCCUAACAGCAGUGUAGUGGAGACAUAAAAAGAAGGUAAUUUACAAUAGAAAGAUACAUACAUAUUGAUAUGUAAAUGUCAUCUCACAAUUACACUGGUACCCAUGAAGAUGUUUUCGGGAGUUUGGACCGGGAGAUAGAAUUACCAUGAGUAUGACAGCUAUAAAUGCAGACUAAUAAAGGAGUAUUGUGUUGACAACUCAAGCCCCAUUGGUGCCAUUGCCAUUGGUGACAUGAUUUUCUGAAAAGGUGAACAAAUCUUGGAAGACUUUCAAACGAAAGUACAAUCUUCCCUUGAUUUAAACAAUGGAAAAUUUGGUGUGUAUUAAAACUAUACACAAAGUAAAAAUACUUUGUAUGUAUGUGAAAUGGAGUUAAGCUCUAGGCUCAGAUAAUAAUAAAUAGGUUUAUCACCUACCUGGAAUCCCAGUGGGUCACUAAGAAAUUGUGCUGGAUGAAGGAAGAAUUUUUGUCAUGCAAGCUUAUCCCAUAAAUUCUAACUUCCUUGAUCUCCAUACAUUAAAUGCCAGGCUCACCUCCCAAUUACUGUGAUAAUAAAGACAUCCUUACAAUUUUCCAAAAUGGCCACCCAUUGAUGAACAGCUUUAGGUCAACUAAAAAAAAAUUAGAGGGGAUUGCUGUGAUUGUCUUUCAGUCCCUCUGUCUGCAAGAGUUUCAACCUAAAUCUAGCAGCAAGAUGGCUGCAGUACUUCUGGGAUUCUCAUCUGUACAAAACCUCAUCCAGAGGAAGAGAAACACCACAUGUUCUGGUGGCUCUUUAUAGAAAAGAAACUAUUUUUGCGGAAGUACCUGGAAAUAUCCCUUAGGUCUCAUCAGACCAAGUUGUAGUCUUAGAAUUCCUGAACCAAUCAAUAGAAUUACUCUAACCAAUCAGACUCACUCCUGGAACUGGGAGUGAGGUCAGCUUUCCUUAAAGCACAGAUGUGGAUGGAAAUGUGUGGAUAUCUGAAUAAAAGUCAGGAAUGAAGGGAGAAAUGGAUUCUGGGUAGGCAACCAAAAUGUUCCCUGCAUAUUUGCAGAGUUGAGGAUUGAUUUUAUUCAGGGAGAUUCCAGGUUUGUUGGUGCCUUGAAAGACCACCUGGGCCGGAGGUUACAUAUAUGUGUGUGCAAUGGAUUCCAAAGGCAUAGUUGGAGUAGCUGAGAAUGGGAGGUGGGAGCCCAGGAAAGGAGGAGGCGGGCGCCACAAGUCUGGACGAGCUGCCUUGUAAAAGGAUCAAAGCUCUUUGAGAUCCCUCUGCCAAAGCUCUUGCAGCGUGUGACAGGAACCCAGGUGAAAGAUGGGUGUGAGUGGAACUGAAAGAGACCCCUUGAUGAUUUCCUGAGGAAAUUCACCUGUUUGGCAAUGACUUUGCUCCGCAAGUUUUCCUCCUGCAUCCACAUGUCCUCAUCAACUCCAAACUCAAAGGAAAGCAUGAUGGUUGUGAAACUGAAAAGCAACUUUCAGCGUAUGCAGAUUUGGAACUCAUAAUGCCACCAGCCUGAAACUACUGUUAAUAUUUUGGUACAUCUAAAAUAUAAUACCAAAACCGUUUCUGAGAAUAAACUACUGAAACCAAUUUGAACCGGUGAUUUUAAAAAAUGAAAAAUAAAAUCUGGAAGACAAAGAACACAGUACAGGUAAGUGAUAACAGAUGGACUCAGUUAUAAACACACACAGACACACACACACUCUCUCUCUCUCUCUCUCUCCUCUCUCCCCAUGGGUGAUAGGUCCCUCUACACCACUGCACAUAACUUCAAAUCCAUUUCUUUGCCUGCACAGAUUUGUAGUCAGAUCUUGCUGGGCCUUAUCUUAUUGGUAAAGGCCCACAGCGAUUAAAAUGGCAUUGACAAUCUUCUGAUCUGUCCUUGUAUAAUAGAAAAUUCAGAUUAAGGCAAGAUUAUGGUAAUGGAGGAGAAGAUCUUAGAGUGGGAAGGGCUUUUUGAAGACAGCUUGUUCAGUUCUCCGACUGACACAUAUUUUCUGUCUGUAAUAUCCUGCCUAAUGGCCUUUUCUUGAUCAUCUCCAGUAACAAGAAACUUGUAGCCUCCAGAGGCAGCAUUUUCAUCUUUAGAUGGUGCUGUUAAAAGGCCUUUAAAUGUAACCCUGAUCUGGCUUUAUGUACCUCCCAGUGUGUUCACCAGCUGUGCUCCCUGUGACAUAUAGCGCAAAUCUGAACCACUGUCAUAUGGAAGAGGAGUUUGAUAUUUCGUAUGUUUAACAGGACAGGUUCAACUUCAGUUAUCUGGAAAAGGCCAAGAAGCCAGAGGAGUGAGGCAUUGUUUCAAAUCAUAAACUGACAAGAUUUGAUUAAACGUCAUCAUUUGCCCAGCAUUGUACGUGUACAAUGAAGAACCAAAGACUGGACUCUCAAGGAAGCAAAGAGACAAAAGUGACACAGCCACAAUGCUCAGCAUGCAAGUUAGCACCCAACUGACGGGCCCAGAUCAUGAGAAUUAUAGGCCCUUAGCACACUGAGGAGAGACUGGGGAGGAUCGAGAUUAGUAAAGAGAAAUAGAAGGUUCUCUAGCCAAUGGAGACAACUCAAGCAAAGGCCCUGGAAUGGGACUGGCAAGAAGAAGUGAGACCAGCCGAGUUCAGUCGAGGAACGGGUAGGAUAAUGUAUCUCAUGGAUCUUCCUCGAAUGCCUCACCUCAGAAAGAUCUAACACAACAAAUAAAACAAAAGCAGUGAAGAUAGCGACCUGUGAGGACCAAAGCCAUCUAUGCAGAACUCCAGGGAGCUUCUGCACCGGCAACCGGCACAGAGAGUCAAAAUCCUCUUCUGCCUUCUUCACUUUUCUCAGUCCUCAGGACACCAAGCUUCUAACUGACCAUGCUUCCAUAGCAUGCCCACACUUCGCCUGCACUUCCUUUAGGCUGACGUCGACACUCCCCCUGCCAUGCAAUGCUCUAUACUCCCAGGUGAAGAGUUUCCCUUCCCACUGGGCUGGAUGAUUCUGGGACCUAAGGAUCUGCUCAGAAGAGCAGAUGCUCAGUGAGUGCAUAUUAAACAGCUCUAGUGCUCCUUCCCUGGUUUUAUAAUCUGGUCCACAAAAUUCCUGGUAGCCAUCUUCAACAACAUUGCAAAACAACAUGGACCUUUAAAAGAAAGUCUGAGCAUCAGUUAACACAACUUGAAUACAAGAAAUCCCAGCAGCUCACAAUCUUUCACCCUUUUCCAAAACAUCCUGUGGGUCAGCAACAUCCCUCUAACAUGCAGAGUGAAAGGAAGAUCUCCUCUCAGAUCUUACUGCAGGCCCCCCAUUGGGGUCUUUGGGAGAUAGUCACCCAAAUGGCCUGCAUUUGAAGUUGGCAAGACCACCCCAGAAACAGCAUCUGUCCAUGUUCCUUUCACCAAGAUCCGUGGUCUGCUGAUUGUUGAGACUUGGGUUCAAGUGUUGACUUCCCUUUUUUUUUUCUUAAAGAUUUUAUUUUUCCUUUUCCUCCCCAAAGCCCCCCGGUACAUAGUUAUAUAUUUUUAGUUGUGGGUCCUUCUAGUUGCAGCAUGUGGGACACCGCCUUAGCAUGGCCUGAUGGGUGGUGCCAUGUCCGCACCUAGGAUCCAAACCAGCAAAACCCUGGGCUGCCACGGUGAAGUGCGCAAACUUAACCAUUUGGCCACGGGGCCGGCCCUCUUGACUUCCCUUUUAUGGGCUAAAGUUUUGUCAACUCACUGUACCUCAGUGACAUGGCGAGUGUCCCUUCUGCUUGUGUCAUCCCUGCCUCAGUCUUUCCUGCCCACGUGCAGUGUUGCGCUGCAAUACAACAGGGAGAUGGGAAGGGCUUGCUGAGUCAAACUGGAGGCCAAGCAGAGGCAGCUUUGCCUACGUGAAGUGCUCCACCCUCUCAGCCUUUCCUAUUGAAACCACACUCUCACUGACUCUCUCUUCCACUAUCAGCUUCCAGACAGAUCCGGUGUCUCCAAAUGCUCUGUUCUUCUCAGGCAAGACUUUCAGCUGCACAGUCCUACCUUCUUUCUCUUUUCUUUCUUUCACACCCCAUAACCAAAUCUGGUCAACUAUAUUUUUAAAUCAUAUACCCAAACCAAUCACUUCUCACACCAUUCGUCACUACCACCCUAGUAGCCAUCAUCAUCUCUCAGUUGGAUUAUUUCGACAGUCCCCAAAUUGGUCUCCCUGCUUUCACCCUUGUGCUGACUGCACAUAAGAGCCAGGGGGGUCCAUUUGAAAUGUAAGCCAUGUCCUGUCCCUCCUCCUCCAGGGGCCUUCGAUUUACUCAGAGUAAAAUCACCUUCUCUCUAAAGGCCUUACGGCCCUAUGAUCUGGUCCCCAUCUCCUACUCUCCUCCUGCUUAGACUCCACCCACUCUGGCCUCCACACAGCCAGGCACCCUGCUACCUCAGGGCCUUUGCAUUUGGAUUAUUUUUCUGCUUGAAAUUCUUUUCUCCAAGAUACCCAUAUAAUUUGUUUCUUCUCUUCUUCCCAGGUUUGCUCAAAUGUCACCUCAUCAGAGAGUACUCUCUGACCUCCCCAUGCAAAAUGCACCUCCAUGGAAGUCUCUCUCUCCCUCUUGCUGAUUCAUUUUUCUUCCUGGCACUGAGGGCCAGCUAAUAUUUUAUAUAUUUAUUUAUCUCUUUACUGUCUUUCUCCACCCCACCCCCACCCCCCCAAGCCUCCAGAAUGUUAGUCCUUUAAGUACUGAGAUUUUGCUUUUUACCACCAUAUUCCCAGAGCUUAGAACAGUGCCUACCACAUUAAAGUGCUC
This 10333-nucleotide long non-coding RNA is filed under the name Equus caballus (horse). RNAcentral describes it as "lncRNA (ENSECAG00000056252.1)". Lineage: Eukaryota; Metazoa; Chordata; Mammalia; Perissodactyla; Equidae. The record is from RNAcentral.